UACGUAGGGGGCAAACGUUGUCCGGAAUAACUGGGCGUAAAGGGCGAGUAGGUGGUCUGUCAAGUCAGAAGUGAAAACUGCGGGCUCAACCCGGAGAUUGCUUUUCGAAACUGGCAGACUUGAGUGCAGGAGAGGGAAGCGGAAUUCCUAGUGUAGCGGUGAAAUGCGUAGAUAUUAGGAGGAACACCAGUGGCGAAGGCGGCUUCCUGGCCUGUAACUGACACUGAGGCGCGAAAGCGUGGGGAGCAAACAGG
RNAcentral lists this ribosomal RNA (254 nucleotides) under uncultured bacterium. Its description in RNAcentral is "partial 16S ribosomal RNA". It matches the Rfam family "Bacterial small subunit ribosomal RNA", at positions 524 to 776 of the family's 1533-position model. The record is from RNAcentral.